AUAGCGAAAGGGCAAAGUCACCGAAAGAUGGCGACGCAAAACCGUGGAUCUAAAGCCAUUUAUGGCCAAGAUAGCCAGGUUACCGAA
This 87-nucleotide non-coding RNA is filed under the name Olavius algarvensis Delta 1 endosymbiont. RNAcentral describes it as "c-di-GMP-I riboswitch aptamer". It matches the Rfam family "c-di-GMP-I riboswitch aptamer". Rfam says of the family: GEMM was predicted in a large-scale screen for bacterial structured RNA regulatory elements. Lineage: Bacteria; Deltaproteobacteria. The record is from Rfam by way of RNAcentral. RNAcentral also lists the same sequence under 1 other name.